ACUAGAUCGGCAUCGAACUAGUAUUAAAGGAGCGAAUGCUCCGCUACUGGAUGGACUCGCGGUGCAUUAGCUAGUUGGUGAGGUAGAGGCUCACCAAGGCGAUGAUGCAUAGCCGACCUGAGAGGGUGAACGCCACAUUGGGACUGAGACACGGCCCAGACUCCUACGGGAGGCAGCAGUGGGGGAAUUUUCGUCAAUGGGGGAAACCCUGAACGAGCAAUGCCGCGUGAGUGAAGAAGGAUUUCGGUCU
RNAcentral lists this ribosomal RNA (250 nucleotides) under uncultured Bacillota bacterium. Its description in RNAcentral is "uncultured Firmicutes bacterium partial 16S ribosomal RNA". It matches the Rfam family "Bacterial small subunit ribosomal RNA", at positions 180 to 424 of the family's 1533-position model. The record is from RNAcentral. Lineage: Bacteria; Bacillati; Bacillota.